RNAcentral lists this ribosomal RNA (95 nucleotides) under uncultured bacterium. Its description in RNAcentral is "partial 16S ribosomal RNA". The record is from RNAcentral.
CGACGCCGCGUGCGGGAUGAAGGCCUUCGGUUGUAACCGCUUCACCAGGAAGAAUCCAGACGGUACCUGGGAAGAAGCGCCGGCUAACUACGUGC